RNAcentral lists this ribosomal RNA (497 nucleotides) under uncultured bacterium. RNAcentral's name for it is "partial 16S ribosomal RNA". It matches the Rfam family "Bacterial small subunit ribosomal RNA", at positions 28 to 507 of the family's 1533-position model. The record is from RNAcentral.
GAUGAACGCUGGCGGCGUGCCUAAUACAUGCAAGUCGAGCGAACAGACGAGGAGCUUGCUCCUCUGACGUUAGCGGCGGACGGGUGAGUAACACGUGGAUAACCUACCUAUAAGACUGGGAUAACUUCGGGAAACCGGAGCUAAUACCGGAUAAUAUAUUGAACCGCAUGGUUCAACAGUGAAAGACGGUUUUGCUGUCACUUAUAGAUGGAUCCGCGCCGCAUUAGCUAGUUGGUAAGGUAACGGCUUACCAAGGCGACGAUGCGUAGCCGACCUGAGAGGGGGAUCGGCCACACUGGAACUGGGACACGGUCCAGACUCCUACGGGAGGCAGCAGUAGGGAAUCUUCCGCAAUGGGCGAAAGCCUGACGGAGCAACGCCGCGUGAGUGAUGAAGGUCUUCGGAUCGUAAAACUCUGUUAUGAGGGAAGAACAAAUGUGUAAGUAACUAUGCACGUCUUGACGGUACCUAAUCAGAAAGCCACGGCUAACUACGUG